AGGAUUAACGCUGGCGGCGUGCCUAACACAUGCAAGUCGAACGAGGUAGCAAUACCUAGUGGCAGACGGGUGAGUAGCGCGUGGUCAACCUACCGUUGAGUGGGGGAUAACUAGCCGAAAGGUUAGCUAAUACCGCAUACGUCUCCGAGGGGCAUCCCUUGGUGAUAAAAGGAGCAAUCCGCUCGAUGACGGGACCGCGUCCCAUUAGCUAGUUGGUGGGGUAACGGCCUACCAAGGCAUCGAUGGGUAGCUGGUUUGAGAGAGCGACCAGCCACACUGGGACUGAGAUACGGCCCAGACUCCUACGGGAGGCAGCAGUGAGGAAUCUUGCGCAAUGGGCGAAAGCCUGACGCAGCAACGCCGCGUGGAGGACGAAUGCUUUCUGAGUUGUAAACUCCUUUCAGCAGGGACGAUUGUGACGGUACCUGCAGAAGAGCACCGGCAACUACGUGCCAGCAGCCGC
This 463-nucleotide ribosomal RNA is filed under the name uncultured bacterium. Its description in RNAcentral is "SSU rRNA". It matches the Rfam family "Bacterial small subunit ribosomal RNA", at positions 26 to 518 of the family's 1533-position model. The record is from RNAcentral.